Molecule: ribosomal RNA, 468 nt
Filed under: uncultured bacterium
Lineage: Bacteria
Description: partial 16S ribosomal RNA
Rfam family: Bacterial small subunit ribosomal RNA
Source: RNAcentral
GACGAACGCUGGCGGCGUGCUUAACACAUGCAAGUCGAACGGAGAGGCCCUGCUUUUGUGGGGUGCUCGAGUGGCGAACGGGUGAGUAACACGUGAGUAACCUGCCCUUGACUUUGGGAUAACUUCAGGAAACUGGGGCUAAUACCGGAUAGGAGCUCCUGCUGCAUGGUGGGGGUUGGAAAGUGUCGGCGGUUGGGGAUGGACUCGCGGCUUAUCAGCUUGUUGGUGGGGUAGUGGCUUACCAAGGCUUUGACGGGUAGCCGGCCUGAGAGGGUGACCGGCCACAUUGGGCCUGCGAUACGGCCCAGACUCCUACGGGAGGCAGCAGUGGGGAAUAUUGCACAAUGGGCCGAAGCCUGAUGCAGCAACGCCGCGUGCGGGAUGACGGCCUUCGGGUUGUAAACCGCUUUCGCCUGUGACGAAGCGUGAGUGACGGUAAUGGGUAAAGAAGCACCGGCUAACUACGUG